This 427-nucleotide ribosomal RNA is filed under the name uncultured bacterium. RNAcentral's name for it is "partial 16S ribosomal RNA". It matches the Rfam family "Bacterial small subunit ribosomal RNA", at positions 355 to 774 of the family's 1533-position model. The record is from RNAcentral.
UGGGGAAUAUUGCACAAUGGGCGCAAGCCUGAUGCAGCCAUGCCGCGUGUGUGAAGAAGGCCUUCGGGUUGUAAAGCACUUUCAGCGAGGAGGAAGGGUGGUGUGUUAAUAGCACAUCACAUUGACGUUACUCGCAGAAGAAGCACCGGCUAACUCCGUGCCAGCAGCCGCGGUAAUACGGAGGGUGCAAGCGUUAAUCGGAAUUGCUGGGCGUAAAGCGCACGCAGGCGGUUUGUUAAAUCAGAUGUGAAAUCCCCGCGCUUAACGUGGGAACUGCAUUUGAAACUGGCAAGCUAGAGUCUUGUAGAGGGGGGUAGAAUUCCAGGUGUAGCGGUGAAAUGCGUAGAGAUCUGGAGGAAUACCGGUGGCGAAGGCGGCCCCCUGGACAAAGACUGACGCUCAGGUGCGAAAGCGUGGGGAGCAAACA